This 348-nucleotide transfer-messenger RNA is filed under the name Brachyspirales. Its description in RNAcentral is "JACRPF01 sp016214035 Standard tmRNA". It matches the Rfam family "transfer-messenger RNA". From Rfam's summary of the family: Bacterial tmRNA, also known as 10Sa RNA or SsrA, is named for its dual tRNA and mRNA-like properties. Its role is to liberate the mRNA from a stalled ribosome. To accomplish this part of the tmRNA is used as a reading frame that ends in a translation stop signal. RNAcentral also lists the same sequence under 1 other name. Lineage: Bacteria; Pseudomonadati; Spirochaetota; Spirochaetia. The record is from RNAcentral.
GGGGAUGAUCUGGUUUCGACUGCAUAAGAGUAUCGAGAUCUGCGUGUCGCGGCGGCAUGCCCGCGUUAAAACGUGCCAAACUUAUAAGUGCUGAUAACUUCGCACUUGCUGCUUAAUCAGUAGCCGUCUCGCUCUGUUUUUUCUACGGAGCAGGGAUUGAGGCGCAACAACACGUAGGAACGCACCAUCCGUGCUAUUCUAACGGAUGAAUGCGGAACAAUAGAAUGUAGCGUACGCGAGUUUCGCAGGAAUUUUCAUCGCGCACGUGAAUCAACAAUUCCGGCUACACACGUAGGUGGUUUCGUUGCUGUAUGCAGGACGCGGGUUCGAUUCCCGCCAUCUCCAAAA